AUAAAUUUGGGUCUAGAAGGGAUGACGUAAUGCUAAACCAGAGAGGUGGCUGCCGCCUCCCAGGGCUCCAGUCGCCAGGGCUGCCGGCUGACAUCCCAACCACACGGAAAAGCACCACGACCCAGGGUCUUAGGAAAAGGAAAAAAUCAACUCCUCUGCUGGUGAUGAUCACAAGCCAUGGGCUCAGCCACACUACCUCAUUUUAAUUAGAAGACCAGCACAGAUCUCGAUGGAGGAGAGCAAGAGGUUGGACCAAUGCCGUUCGACCAGAACCAGCUGGCCCACGUUAGCAAGGAGGCAGCCAGGGCCUAAAGCUCAUCUGUGUGGCUCACACUUGCCAAGCUUGGGCCAGAC
Long non-coding RNA from Cervus elaphus (red deer), 354 nucleotides. RefSeq lists it as uncharacterized. The record is from RefSeq and is a predicted model, not a curated record. The transcript has 3 exons. Lineage: Eukaryota; Metazoa; Chordata; Mammalia; Artiodactyla; Cervidae.